AAUGAACGCUGGCGGCAUGCCUAACACAUGCAAGUCGAACGAAGGCUUCGGCCUUAGUGGCGCACGGGUGCGUAACGCGUGGGAAUCUGCCCUCAGGUUCGGAAUAACAGCGAGAAAUUGCUGCUAAUACCGGAUGAUAUCGCGAGAUCAAAGAUUAUCGCCUGAGGAUGAGCCCGCGUAGGAUUAGCUAGUUGGUGUGGUAAAGGCGCACCAAGGCGACGAUCCUUAGCUGGUCUGAGAGGAUGAUCAGCCACACUGGGACUGAGACACGGCCCAGACUCCUACGGGAGGCAGCAGUGGGGAAUAUUGGACAAUGGGCGAAAGCCUGAUCCAGCAAUGCCGCGUGAGUGAUGAAGGCCUUAGGGUUGUAAAGCUCUUUUACCCGGGAUGAUAAUGACAGUACCGGGAGAAUAAGCUCCGGCUAACUCCGUACCAGCAGCCGCCGUAA
This 448-nucleotide ribosomal RNA is filed under the name uncultured bacterium. Its description in RNAcentral is "partial 16S ribosomal RNA". It matches the Rfam family "Bacterial small subunit ribosomal RNA", at positions 29 to 523 of the family's 1533-position model. The record is from RNAcentral.